RNAcentral lists this ribosomal RNA (248 nucleotides) under uncultured bacterium. Its description in RNAcentral is "partial 16S ribosomal RNA". It matches the Rfam family "Bacterial small subunit ribosomal RNA", at positions 796 to 1041 of the family's 1533-position model. The record is from RNAcentral.
CUAGCCGUAAACGAUGGACACUAGGUGUCGGGGGUGUCGACUCCCUCGGUGCCGAAGCUAACGCAUUAAGUGUCCCGCCUGGGGAGUACGGCCGCAAGGCUAAAACUCAAAGGAAUUGACGGGGGCCCGCACAAGCAGUGGAGCAUGUGGUUUAAUUCGACGCAACGCGAAGAACCUUACCUGGGCUUGACAUGUACGUGGUAGGAAUCUGAAAGGUGACCGACCCUUCGGGGAGCGUACACAGGUGG